Long non-coding RNA from Quercus robur (English oak), 2508 nucleotides. RefSeq lists it as uncharacterized. NCBI's taxonomy places the organism in Eukaryota, Viridiplantae, Streptophyta, Magnoliopsida, Fagales, Fagaceae. The record is from RefSeq and is a predicted model, not a curated record. The transcript has 7 exons.
UAUAACUAAAAAUACAACAACAUGACCCAUUAUUUGUGGUUACUAAACCACAUAAGCCUCUGUGCACCUUUAUCUUCUUGAACCAUGGUCAUGGUGGUGUGGUGGGUGUGGCUAAUUUAGCCUGCAGCAAUCGACCUUAUUGUUGGACUUUGGGGUUGGUACAGAUUUUGGUACCACAGAUUUCAAUAUCUGUACCAACACUGACUUUUUCUUUGCCGGGAAAACACUUCCAUUUUUCUGUUUGUUGGAGCUGAGCUGCUCUUCACUUGGGCUAGAGUCCACCACCUUCUUUGGCUCUAUUUUGGUGCAGCCACAGCAGCCCUCCUCCUCAUCUGAGCUCACCAUCUUUGCCUUUUCCAUCUUGUUAGUUGCCAUCUCUCUUUUCUCUCUAAAUUUCCUUUCAAUUUUUCAACUCCAAAUUGUGAAGGUUUUUGAAGAGAUUAAUAAUGUUAAGUAGAAAGACACUCUUGGACGCCAAGAGUGAACUGUGACAUUCUUGGGCUCCAAGGCUGAGCUGGAAUCUAAUCUCCUAUAGAGGGUGACAUUGAAAAUCUGCUAUUUGCUAAUUGAGGAGUUAUGGCCAGGAUCCAAUUUGAUAAGCUUUGAGUGUGCAAAGACAUUUUCUAUUUAUGGGUUGUUAUUUGCUAACUGAAGUCUUCAAUCCUCUGUUGCUCUAUCUGGAGGGUGACAUUGACAAUCUGCUAUUUGCUAAUUGAGGAGUUAUGGCCAGGAUCCUAUUUGAUAAGCUUUGAGUGUGCACAGACAUUUUCUAUUUAUGGAUUGUUAUUUGCUAACUGAAGACUUCAAUCCUCGGUUGCUCUAUCUGAGAAGUGUUGUGUUUGCAAAAUUCAUCUAUUCAUGGAUGCUUGUUUGCCUAUGUGGAUUUUAAGAGGAGGGUAGCAUCGACGAGCUACUAUUUGCUAAUUUAGGAGUUAUGGCCAGGAUCCUAUCAGGUUCAAAGUCUUUGGACCCUCUAUUGCUGAGUGCUAUGUUGUGACCAGUAAUCAGUAAUCAAAACAAAAACUCAAGCGAUAAGCUUUAACCAUUGAAGAUGGAGCACUAUAUAUAAAACCUGAGUAGACUUCAUUUUUUUUUUUAUUGCUGUUUUUGAAGUGUUGGUUAUGUAGUAUUCAUUAGAUUGUUAUUAGUCAAUUUCUAAUUCUUUUCUUUGAGUGAUAAUUUACAUUUAGAAAAACAAUUUUGGGGUUCAAUAUUAGAUUGUUUCUGUAAGAUCUUAUGCUCAGUUGAGUUUUCAAGGAAACUGUGAAGGAAACAACUGCUUUUUCUAAUUUCAUUUUAUAUACCUUAAUCUGUAUUCUUGAGUGUGUCGGAGCCUACAGUAUCAAAUUUAGCUUUAAAUUUGUAUGCAAUAUUGAAUCAGAGCACCAUUGGUCUAGAAGCUGGGGAGAGAAGGUUCUAUUGGCUGUUUUAGACUUAUUACUAGAUUAAUAAAGUUAGGUAUGCCAAUCUCCGAGACCAAGGUCAAGCCAAUAAAAAUUCUCAAAAAAUAUAUACUGUAAUAUGGAUGUUAGUGCCAAUAUUUUAAGUUUGACUGGGAUGUCCCUAUCAUGUCUUCAUCAUUUGAAGCCCCUUGUUAUAUCAAUAUUAAGUUUUGAGUCUUUUGAGUUUUGACCAACCACUAGUACCACAAUUAUAAGUUCAUAUGAAUAUAAAUUGUAUAGCUAUUUGCUCUAGCUUCUAUGGGAAAGGCACUUCUUAUGUUUCCUGGAGGUUUCUUAGGUCACUCACUACAACAUUCAUAACUAAGAUAAUGCAAAAUUGAGAUUGAUAAGCUACGUGAGUAACUUUUGUCAAUGUUACAUUGCUCACUUUUAUUGCAAAAUUUCAUCAUUACAUUACAUUGUUUCUUUCUUUAUACUUGCAAAAGAUCAAAACGAUUAGAUAUCAAAAACUAUUUCAUCUAAACAUAUUUGUUGAUAAAGUGGUGUACACCAUCUAACAUUUUCCGAUGCAGAAACUAUUAUAGUUUGUAGAAACAACACUACUAAUGGUCCAUCAAUAUUUGUCGUUUUCCUUAAUGCGUGGCAACAUACGAUUGCUUUUUGAAGCAUAUAUUAGGCUAGCUCUCAAUUUGUUGUUACCUUCAUCUUUUUUUUUUCCUUUUUUUUUUUUUGGGUAGUGCUAGACGUCCGUAUACUUUUUGUUUGUCCCGAAAUGUUGUGUCUCGUUCCCAUAUACAAGUAUCCAACCCAACCCCUCGAGCCAACCAAGGCUCAUGAAUUCACUAGAUUUGGUGUGUCCCAAACUUAUUAGAAUAAAUAAAUCUGGAAUUUAUAAACCUUGUAUUCUGUAGUAUAUAAAUAAAUAUUAAUAGGAAUGUCACUGUGUCGGGUCCUAAAAGAUUAUUAAAAUUUAAAAGGAUUACAUUGGAGUAGACUUAGGUUACGCUAAUUCUUAUUUUUAACCUUUAAAUAGGAUUAUAUUAAAAUAGGAUUUUGCUAAUUUGUGCCCUAAAGGCACACAAUAAUUUUUAUUUUUGAAAAAAAA